RNAcentral lists this ribosomal RNA (164 nucleotides) under uncultured bacterium. RNAcentral describes it as "partial 16S rRNA". It matches the Rfam family "Bacterial small subunit ribosomal RNA", at positions 355 to 511 of the family's 1533-position model. The record is from RNAcentral.
UAUGGAAUCUUCCACAAUGGACGAAAGUCUGAUGGAGCAACGCCGCGUGAGUGAAGAAGGGUUUCGGCUCGUAAAACUCUGUUGUUAAAGAAGAACAUAUCUGAGAGUAACUGUUCAGGUAUUGACGGUAUUUAACCAGAAAGCCACGGCUAACUACGUGCCAC